CACUCCUGCGGGAGGCAGCAGUGGGGAAUAUUGCACAAUGGGCGCAAGCCUGAUGCAGCGACGCCGCGUGGGGGAUGAAGGCCUUCGGGUUGUAAACUCCUUUCGCUAGGGACGAAGCUUUUUUGUGACGGUACCUAGAUAAGAAGCACCGGCUAACUACGUGCCAGCAGCCGCGGUAAUACGUAGGGUGCGAGCGUUGUCCGGAAUUACUGGGCGUAAAGGGCUCGUAGGUGGUUUGUCGCGUCGUCUGUGAAAUUCUGGGGCUUAACUCCGGGCGUGCAGGCGAUACGGGCAUAACUUGAGUGCUGUAGGGGUAACUGGAAUUCCUGGUGUAGCGGUGAAAUGCGCAGAUAUCAGGAGGAACACCGAUGGCGAAGGCAGGUUACUGGGCAGUUACUGACGCUGAGGAGCGAAAGCAUGGGUAGCGAACAGGAUUAGAAACCCUUGUAGUCCCAU
This 456-nucleotide ribosomal RNA is filed under the name uncultured organism. Its description in RNAcentral is "partial 16S ribosomal RNA". It matches the Rfam family "Bacterial small subunit ribosomal RNA", at positions 334 to 798 of the family's 1533-position model. The record is from RNAcentral.